UCAACUCGAACCCCGCCAUUCCCAUCCGGGCCCGCCACUUCCCAAACACUUCACAUCUUUCAACGCGGUCCCUCCCUUCGCAAGCGACGGAGUUCGCGAGCUUGCGACUCAGCGCCUCCUCCGCCUUGGCUCGGUCCGGGUGGUCCUUCGCCACCGCCUCGAUCGACUCCAAUAGCGCUCCGUAAUACGCGCAACACUCGUUCACGCGCGCCAUGAACGGCGCGGUGUUGGUGUUCAGCUCCUGCUCCACCAGCGUCACCACGCGCGGCGCGAGUCCCUUCACGCGCCGCAGGAGCUCAUCCCUUGGGUUGUCCGUGGAGACGCUCUCGUCCGGCAUGCUGUACAGCUUGAACGCGAAGUUCACGGCGAUCGGCUCGUCCGGCUCGCAGCCGAGCGACUCCCGGUUCAGCUCGCUGAGCUUGUGACCCACCACGUUGAAUUCCAACCCCACGCGCAGCUCCUUCGCCACUUGAUUCAGAUUCUCACGGACUGUUCUCAGCCUCUCCUCGCCUCCGCCGUUAUCAGCCACGGUGGUGAUCUUCACCGCCGAGGGCUUCCCAUUCUGGCGCCUGGAGAGCGCCUGCAGGAGGUGCAUGUACUGGCCGC
RNAcentral lists this long non-coding RNA (606 nucleotides) under Fragaria vesca (wild strawberry). RNAcentral describes it as "long non-coding RNA (FVES_LNC003922)". Lineage: Eukaryota; Viridiplantae; Streptophyta; Magnoliopsida; Rosales; Rosaceae. The record is from RNAcentral.